This 2304-nucleotide long non-coding RNA is filed under the name Equus caballus (horse). RNAcentral describes it as "lncRNA (ENSECAG00000044174.1)". Lineage: Eukaryota; Metazoa; Chordata; Mammalia; Perissodactyla; Equidae. The record is from RNAcentral.
AGGGGUUGGGGGUGGGGGAACGACUAACUGCUAAUGAGACAAUGGGGUGGUGAAAACUGUUCCGAGACUGUGGUGAUGGGUCCACAGCUUUGUAAAUACUAAAAGCCAUUGAAUUACACACUUUAAUGGACAAACUUUAUGGAAUGUAAAUUAUAUCUCAAGAAAUCUGUUAAAAAUGGGAAGAAAAGUGGGGUCCAAAAAGACCAUUCCCAUAAUAACCAUACUUCACAAUUAGAGAAGGAAUAUCCUAGUUUUAAGUUCCUGGUCUUUUCCUGCAUAAAGGCCCAAUUUUAAGCUGCUCAGCCAAAAUGGCUCCCUUUCUCCUCCCAAACCGGUGGGCUUUGUUGAAAGCACAUCCAGCCCAGAAGACAGCCAGAGCAAUGCUGGUUGGCAGACACUCUGCUCUGGCAAAUGUAAUUAAAGGCAACAGCAAUUGCCCCACCUGAUGAGAAGACAGUCUUUUCACUCAACAUUGAGAAGGAUCAAGGAGAAGAGUACUAAGCUUGGAGUCAGAAUACCCAGAGGUUCUACACCAGCUCUCCCACUUUCUAGCUGUGGGAUGUCCAACAAGUCCCUUCACCUCUCUGAACUGCAGUCCCCAGCAAGGAUAACAAUGCUGUCCUACAGCGGCCCUUGAUGACUUGUUAUGAGGAUCAGGCCAAUGAUGUGAAAGUCCUUUUCAAAUUAUUCACGCUUAUGUAAAACAAGAGUUUUUGUUUGUUUGUUUGUUUAAAGAUUGGCACCUGCGCUAACAUCUGUUGCCACUCUUUUUUUUCUUCUUCUUCUCCCCGAAGUCCCCCAGUACAUCGCUGUAUAUUCUAGUCGCAGCUCCUUCUAGUUGUGGCAUGUGGGACGCCACCUUAGCAUGGCUUGAUGAGCGGUGCCAUGCCCACGCCCAGGAUCCGAACCGGUGAAACCCUGGGCUGUCGAAGUGGAGCGCGUGAACUUAACCACUCAGCCGCGGGGCCGGCCCGGGAGUCAUUCUCAAUAAUAGCGAAUUAAUAAAUUUGUUCUUACUAAAUCCAGAUGUUCCUUUAAGAGGUCAGCAUGGAAUGAGGCACAUCUCUGGGUCUCAGGCUCUUGCAUACAUUUACAGAUGACUGUGAUAAAUAUUUUUAUGUCUGUGCUGCGUGGGGACCAGCUCCUCUACUAGCCUGGGAUAUCUGUUCUUUCGUCUCUGCUAUGUUCAAAGCAGGGCCCCCAGGGCCAUGCAGAUGAGGUCUCUGUUCUCAAAGACAUUCCCUCUUUCACUGUUCUGACAGACUGCAGCCUGUCUGCCAUGCAGAUGGGAGAGCUGCGCCCUCCUGCAGGCGUGGGUGGUGAUUAAAAUGGCCUGUGAGGAGCUUGAGUGGUGCUGAGUGUUGUUUCUCCUCUCAGUGCCACUCUGUUUGGCCUUGGAGUGGUCUUGCUCAGUCUCUGUGUCACUGGUUUUCAAUCUGUGAUUGGGGAUGGCAAGCCAAACCUUGUUAGAGAUCGUGCUGGGGCUGGCUGACCUUCCCCAAGCCAGGAUAAUCUCUCUCCCUGGCAACAGGCAGGGGCAGCAAGGGACAGUGACAGAUUGUGAAAUCCUGGGCCUGGGCUUUCUAGAAUUACUUAAAAAGAGAAAAUAGUCACAAUACCUUGCAUUUGUAUAGUGCUUUUUAAAAAAAAGAAAGCCGUCUUUAAAAUUCUUCAAGGAGAAGGCAGCUUUAGAAUUGUCUGGCAGAGAGGAUACCAGGUGGGUAAGAAAUGUAUUGUCUUAUUCUUAGCCACUCAAUAACACUGAGAGUGUUAGGAGAAAUCUUUUUUUCUCCCCACAGAUGGUGAUGCAGGGGAAGAGAGAUGUGGAGUGACUUGAUCAAUAUCACACAGCAUUAGGGGCAGAAUUUGACCUAAACUUCUUGACUUUUUUUUGUCAGCCCAAAGCAGGCAGAGGAGAUGAAAAUGAAUGACCUAACAUUUUGCUUUGUCCACCUGAGAUUCUGGCGUGUAGACAGCUCUUCCUGAGUCAGAUGUUGUACUUGGUCCUCUGGGGCGUACAGAAAUAUGCCCCUACUUAUAGGUUGGAAAGCAAUGAGGAAGAGUAGGGGUGAGGUGUGAGAAAAAUUGGCAUCCUCUUGCAAGGUACCUACCUGAGGUGAGGUCACUCAGCCUCUUUAAGCAAGGCAGGACCAGACUCAACAGACAGGGCUAGGUGGGGCUGCUUCAGUUGCCUAGGGAGUCUCAGUAUGGUUUGGGGAUUUAAAGGAAGGGCCUGCAAACUCCGGCCAGUGGGCCAAAUGUGGGCACUCUCUGGUUUUUGUAAAUAAAGUUUUAUUGAAACAC